RNAcentral lists this microRNA precursor (65 nucleotides) under Bombyx mori (domestic silkworm). Its description in RNAcentral is "mir-2774 microRNA precursor family". It matches the Rfam family "mir-2774 microRNA precursor family". Lineage: Eukaryota; Metazoa; Arthropoda; Insecta; Lepidoptera; Bombycidae. The record is from Rfam by way of RNAcentral.
GUAACAUUCAGACCGUCAGUCUACCGAGCAAUUACUGGUUCGGUGGAAGAUCUUCUCUUUGCUCC